RNAcentral lists this ribosomal RNA (290 nucleotides) under Escherichia coli. Its description in RNAcentral is "partial 16S rRNA". It matches the Rfam family "Bacterial small subunit ribosomal RNA", at positions 34 to 320 of the family's 1533-position model. Lineage: Bacteria; Pseudomonadati; Pseudomonadota; Gammaproteobacteria; Enterobacterales; Enterobacteriaceae. The record is from RNAcentral.
CGCUGGCGGCAGGCCUAACACAUGCAAGUCGAACGGUAACAGGAAUCAGCUUGCUGAUUCGCUGACGAGUGGCGGACGGGUGAGUAAUGUCUGGGAAACUGCCUGAUGGAGGGGGAUAACUACUGGAAACGGUAGCUAAUACCGCAUAACGUCGCAAGACCAAAGAGGGGGACCUUCGGGCCUCUUGCCAUCGGAUGUGCCCAGAUGGGAUUAGCUAGUAGGUGGGGUAACGGCUCACCUAGGCGACGAUCCCUAGCUGGUCUGAGAGGAUGACCAGCCACACUGGAACU